UACGUAGGGAGCGAGCGUUGUCCGGAUUCCUUGGGCGUAAAGAGCUCGUAGGCGGCUUGAUAAGUCGGAUGUGAAACCUCCAGGCUCAACCUGGAGUCGCCAUCCGAUACUGUCAUAGCUAGAGUCCGGUAGGGGCCCACGGAACUCCUGGUGGAGCGGUGAAAUGCGUAGAUAUCGUCUGGAACGCCGAAGGUGAAAACAGCUCGCUGGGGCUGCGCUGACGCUGAGACGCGAAAGCGUGGGGAGCGAACAGG
This 254-nucleotide ribosomal RNA is filed under the name uncultured bacterium. RNAcentral's name for it is "partial 16S ribosomal RNA". It matches the Rfam family "Bacterial small subunit ribosomal RNA", at positions 524 to 776 of the family's 1533-position model. The record is from RNAcentral.